AUAGUACCCAAGAGGAUAAACAUUUCCAGCGACGGGAAGAACAAGAGAGGAAACAAAACUAGUAGCAACCGCCGGCUUGGUUGACCUUUUCUUGGUGGGUUUUUGACUAGCCGCUGAGAAAGAACCCUGAAAAUUAGCAGCCAAUACAAUAAAGAAUAUGGCCGACACUGAAGAUAACAGUAAUACAAAUCUUCUUUUGCU
This 201-nucleotide unclassified non-coding RNA is filed under the name Hevea brasiliensis (rubber tree). The record is from RNAcentral. Lineage: Eukaryota; Viridiplantae; Streptophyta; Magnoliopsida; Malpighiales; Euphorbiaceae.